UGCCCGAUCGCAUCGCUGCUACCGCCGCCGCGGGGGAGGCGCGGGGGCCGCCCGCCCUCCCGCCCCGCGAAACUCACCUCCCUUCCCCUCCGCUAGCCCGCUUCCACCCUCACCGUCGCGCUUCGGAGUGGGUGCCGCCGCUGCCGCCGCCGGCACAGGCGGUUUUGACCUUUCAAUAGAGAGCUGAUUUUGGAGAACGGCUUACUCCUGUGAUUGAAAAACUCUCUGGAAGGUUGAUGGAGCAUGAGCAUGGAGAAUCUUUCAUUGAGAUGAUUGAAAUUGCUGCAGUGAGAAUGGAAAUUACUUUGGCUCCUUUCCUUUUAAAAGCUGCAUGCGAGAACUGUGUGGGUCUGCCUGUGGUGCUGGACUGGGGAGGAUGUUUGUGGACUGUGCAAGCAAGAAGCCUGAUUCUGUAGGUGCUGCAGAAAUUAGUAAAAAAUUCUCUAGGCAAUGGAACAAAUGGCUGCAAGUAGAGAAAUCAAUGUCUUCAUGGUUAUGUCAAGUGAGAAUUCCUAAGAACUGAAUGUGAUGUUUAUUUUUCUGCCUGCAUUCUUGUGUGAUGCUGGACAAGUAACCAGGCCAUUGUUUCUGUAGUGCAUAUAUUGCGCUUUGCUUUAGAGGUGUCUGAUUUAAGACUCAUCUGAAAGAAACACUGGUGGUUCACAUUGGUAGCUGAGCUUCUUAGGAGUUGUCAUUUGAAUCAAAACACUCUGAAGUUAUGUCUGCUGACAGUCUCCUAUCUUCUUAAAGAGAACUUCAAACUGUUGCAUACUGUGAUAGUUUCUACACGUUCAUGUCACACUUAAAGUAGGGGUAAAUGGAUACAGCCCUUGAAGGGCUGUUAGCUACUUUUGUUUAGUAGCUGUACUACACUAAUGCAUUGCUUCAUAGAAUUUUCUAUGGCAUUUAUUAAUUCUGAUUUCAGAGGAAGAGGUGAGUACUGUGCAUCUUUUAAAGAUCAGAUCUGAAAUAAACUUUCCUUAUUACCAGCUCA
This 994-nucleotide long non-coding RNA is filed under the name Chloebia gouldiae (Gouldian finch). Its description in RNAcentral is "Erythrura gouldiae (Gouldian finch) lncRNA (ENSEGOG00005001878.1)". Lineage: Eukaryota; Metazoa; Chordata; Aves; Passeriformes; Passeridae. The record is from RNAcentral.